UUAGCUGUGAACAGACGGCAGCUUUUCAACUGGGAAAACUUUCCUUGCGCUUCAGUCAACUUUUGUACCAAAUAAUCCUUGACUAGAUAUUUUAGAGUAUUUCUACGUGCACCAACAUAAGAAAAAGAUGGCAACGUCUCUAAGUGAUGUAACCCUUUAUACAUCCUGUUUUUACAGUGCUCGGCAACGAAAUAGUAGAAGACGGAAACUGCGAUGGGCCUCCCAGAGAUCCAAAAAAGACUGUUCGAAACUGCAAUUACUACUGCCAGAAUGGCGGCGACUGGGACAACAAAUACUUCCCAGCGGGAACAAAGUGUCAGUAUCAGCCAGGACGCAUGGGUACCUGCGUGGCACAAGCAGACGAAUCGACCGGCUGCCAACUCGACGAGGAUGUAAGUGUCCAAAAUCCGGGACACGGAGUUCAGCAAUCAACUACAGAGGCAGAGCAGACUACAACGCCUUCCAAAAGAAAAAAGAAAAGUUCAAAAAAGUUGAAUAAGAAGACUAAGAAGCCCAAAUCUUCUACCAACGCAGCAACGGAAUCCAAAGAUAAGAAGAAAAAGAAAAAGAAACGUCAGACGCAAGCGGUGGAAUGGUAGACAGAGCCGUCUCAAGAAAUAAAUUUCGGCUGUCUUUUGCAUCAAGAGUUCAAAAGACCUCGUCCCAUUUCUCCUCGACGUAAAAGAAAAAGAAAACGUCCUGCUAAAAAUUUAUAGCUAAUAACACUGGGCCAAGGCGUAUAACAACGGGAAAUAGUGUAUCUCUAAGUAAGCGGCUACAUAAUUUAAUAAAGUCAACAAACAGCUGAUUUGUAUCAAGUGUACCUUACGACAGUUGCAAAAACGCAACUGUAAUGGCCAGACGACCUAUUUUAUGAUAUUGUGGGAAUAUUGCGAGCACUUUGUUAGCUUCAGUCUUGUCCAUAUUCUAGUGAAAUCCGAGAAAGCCGAGCAAA
This is a long non-coding RNA of Dermacentor andersoni, 955 nucleotides long. RefSeq lists it as uncharacterized. NCBI's taxonomy places the organism in Eukaryota, Metazoa, Arthropoda, Arachnida, Ixodida, Ixodidae. The record is from RefSeq and is a predicted model, not a curated record.